Long non-coding RNA from Empidonax traillii (willow flycatcher), 389 nucleotides. RefSeq lists it as uncharacterized. The record is from RefSeq and is a predicted model, not a curated record. NCBI's taxonomy places the organism in Eukaryota, Metazoa, Chordata, Aves, Passeriformes, Tyrannidae. The transcript has 3 exons.
GCUUGAGCAGGGGUAGAGUGGGGGCGGCAUGAGAAGGAAUAACAUCUAUCUGCUUAAUUCGGAAAAAAAAAAAUGACAGAGACCACAGCCAGUGACUCACCAAAGGGCACUAUCUUUCAAGGCUGGAGGUUCAUGCUGUGACUGAUGCAAGUCUCAGCAGACUUUUUGAGAGAGACUUAACAUACAUGUCUGUCCUGGAACUGUCUAAAUUUUUUUGUGACAGCACUGAGUAAAAUAGGACCCACAUCUGCCUCCUUGUCAUCAACAAACACUGGCAGCAGGUAUAGACUUAUUCUCUCCAAUCCGGCAAUGGACAGACAUGGCAAGACGGUCUGACCUGGUGAAGCAUUGAGUCUGCAAGGAAAAUUAACCAUAGUAACAAUGAGGCC